Long non-coding RNA from Grammomys surdaster, 1733 nucleotides. RefSeq lists it as uncharacterized. Lineage: Eukaryota; Metazoa; Chordata; Mammalia; Rodentia; Muridae. The transcript is spliced from 3 exons. The record is from RefSeq and is a predicted model, not a curated record.
UCUCUGUAGCCCUGAGUGGUCUAGAACUCAUUCUAGACCAGGGUGGCCUGGAACUAACAGAGAUCCACCUGCCUCUUCCUCUCCUUCCACAGUGGUGGGAUUCAAGGGAUGAGCCUUCCACCACUGCCUGUCUUGAGUUAUUUUUACAGAAUAUUUUUUCCAUGUCUGUAUCUAUUCUGUCAGGUGAGAGAAUUAAUUCAAUUAUAAAUAUCUUUCUAGCAAUGUCUAAGAAGAAAAGUUGGCCAGCUUGAAGCCUGCAUUUAUUUGUAUUAUAAACUCCAUAUUGUAAUCAAGUGUUACCUUAUUGAACUGUAUAUAUUUCUAUAAGUCCAGUUUGUGCACACACACAGAUAAACACACACAAGAACAUAUGUUCCACAAGAAAGUCUAAGGGGUUGAAAAAUGUUUCAUCAGCUUCGUCUUGCAGUAGUUGGGAAAUAACAGAGAGACCCACAGUGGACAGUGUGGCGAGAGUGAGAGUCUUGUAGAACACUUGCUCAUGAAUGGCCCCUCAGGUUCCUGGGAGCUAAGCAGAUGAUGACCCUUAAGAAUGUAAGAGUCAGAGGGCAUGCAUAACACCAAGGAAACUGUCUUCUAGACAUAACAGGGCUGACACACAUCAGAAUUCUCGGAGAACCCACAGCAUGCGCAGGGCGUACAGAGGUUGAAGAUGUGAUCCCAGCUCUGAUAAGUCUUUUGUGUUUGUGUUAUAGUUUCUGAUUUUAUAUUUUUAUGGAUUUUGUAUUUGUAUGUCUUUCUGUGUACCUAUGUGUAAUACUUGUCCUUUGUAAAGGUAACCUUUAUUCUUCUGUAUGAUUGUUGUCUUGGGGGCUUAUUACCUUCAGUCUGUUAACCUAAGCCUAGUCCUUGAACCUUCUAACUUCUAUACAGUCUUAUUGGGCCUAGAAUGUUUUCAGCCUCUGCGACUUGCUGCUGAAUAACUCACCCCUUCUAGGUCUUUCUGAUCUCUGGCUGGUUCAUCAACCCUGCUUUUCUGGCUCAAACUCCGCUCCAAGCUGACUUAAUUCAAUCUGGCUUUUCUCUAGGUUUCUUACUGAAUCGCUGUGCUUGGCCUCACACUAACUUUGAUGAUCUGUUUUAACCUUUGGGCUCCUCAUUCUCUGGCUUCUUUAACUGUAUCUAGUUUGUCCUCACUCUGCAAGAUGUGUGCUAGGGCUGAGCCCUACCAUGACAAGGUCUUGCCAGGUCGCAUUCUUCGGGUUCACAAUGUGAUCAAAUAUCCUGCAGUAGUGCUUUUCUUUUUAUUUUUUAAACUUCUGAUUUGUUUGUAUUUUACACCCCUUCACCCAUUUUUAAAAAGAUGGGAUCUCUGUAGUCCAGGGUGACCUAGAACUGAAAGAUCCGCCUGCUCUGUCUCCUGAAUGCUGUAAUUAAAGGAGUGAAUCACCAUAUAGCCCGUGUUUGAUUUUUAAAGUGAGGCAAGAAAGGAGGCCUGGAGGUGGAGGUCUUUAAGCAAAGAGCUGCCAACAAUUCAACAAAGAGUAUGAGAAAUGGAGGCGAAUUCCAGUGUCUACUGACUGGAUGAUAAGAUUUAACCUCCACACCACAAGACCAGGGGUAGACUGCUGCUGGGUGAAGGUGAGACCAUAGACUUGAUCAUUGAGCAGCCAUUGAUUUCUUCAAAACACCUGAUGCUUGAGGAAGGUGGGUGCCUCCAAGCUCCUUCUCCCUUUCUUACCUUCCUGCCCGGAUUAUAGAUUCCAUGCAGUUUC